AACGUACGCUGGCGGCACGCCUAACACAUGCAAGUCGAACGCAGUAGCAAUACUGAGUGGCAAACGGGUGAGUAUAAUGUGGGAAUCUGCCUUUUGGUCUGGAAUAACACGAGGAAACUUGUGCUAAUACCGGAUAAGCCUUUACAGGGAAAGUUUUAACGCCGAAAGAUGAGCCCGCACUUGAUUAGCCAGUUGGUAAGGUAAUAGCUUACCAAGGCAACGAUCAAUAGCUGUUCUUAGAGGAAGACCAGCCACAUUGGGACUGAGACACGGCCCAAACUCCUACGGGAGGCAGCAGAGGGGAAUCUUGCACAAUGGGGGAAACCCUGAUGCAGCGAUGCCGCGUGAGAGAAGAAGGCCUUUGGGUUGUAAAACUCUUUCGUCGGGGAAGAAAAUGACUGUACCCGAAUAAGAAGGUCCGGCUAACUUCGUGCC
RNAcentral lists this ribosomal RNA (435 nucleotides) under uncultured Alphaproteobacteria bacterium. RNAcentral's name for it is "bacterial SSU rRNA". It matches the Rfam family "Bacterial small subunit ribosomal RNA", at positions 29 to 509 of the family's 1533-position model. The record is from RNAcentral. Lineage: Bacteria; Pseudomonadati; Pseudomonadota; Alphaproteobacteria.